GGAAACAGUUGCUAAGACUGGAUAGGAAAUUAGAAGGCAUCUUUUAAUUUUUAAAAGACCUUUUUCGAAAGGUAUACUUAAAGAGGGGCUUGCGGCACAUUAGUUAGUUGGUAGGGUAAAAGCCUACCAAGACCAUGAUGUGUAGCUGGACUGAGAGGUUGAACAGCCACAUUGGGACUGAGACACGGCCCAAACUCCUACGGGAGGCAGCAGUAGGGAAUUUUCGGCAAUGGAGGAAACUCUGACCGAGCAACGCCGCGUGAACGAUGAAGUAUUUCGGUAUGUAAAGUUCUUUUAUUGGAGAAGAAAAAAUAGUGGAAAAACUAUCUUGACGAUAUUCAAUGAAUAAGCCCCGGCAAACUAUGUGCCAGCAGCCGCGGUAAUACAUAGGGGGCGAGCGUUAUCCGGAAUUAUUGGGCGUAAAGGGUGCGUAGGCGGUUUGGUAAGUCUAUAGUUUAAUUUCAGUGCUUAACACUGUUCUGCUAUAGAAACUAUCAGACUAGAGUGAGAUAGAGGCAAGUGGAAUUCCAUGUGUAGCGGUAAAAUGCGUAAAUAUAUGGAGGAACACCAGAGGCGUAGGCGGCUUGCUGGGUCUUUACUGACGCUGAGGCACGAAAGCGUGGGGAGCAAACAGGAUUAGAUACCCUGGUAGUCCACGCCGUAAACGAUGAGUACUAAGUGUCGGGGAAACUCGGUACUGAAGUUAACACAUUAAGUACUCCGCCUGAGUAGUACGUACGCAAGUAUGAAACUUAAAGGAAUUGACGGGACUCCGCACAAGCGGUGGAUCAUGUUGUUUAAUUCGAAGAUACACGAAAAACCUUACCAGGUCUUGACAUACUCUGCAAAGCUAUAGCAAUAUAGCGGAGGUUAUCAGGGAUACAGGUGGUGCAUGGUUGUCGUCAGCUCGUGUCGUGAGAUGUUAGGUUAAGUCCUAAAACGAGCGCAACCCUUGUCACUAGUUGCCAGCAUGUUAUGAUGGGCACUUUAGUGAGACUGCCAAUGAAAAAUUGGAGGAAGGUGAGGAUCACGUCAAAUCAUCAUGCCCCUUAUGAUCUGGGCUACAAACGUGAUACAAUGGCUGUUACAAAGAGUAGCUAAAACGCGAGUUUAUAGCCAAUCUCAUAAAAGCAGUCUCAGUUCGGAUUGAAGUCUGCAACUCGACUUCAUGAAGUUGGAAUCGCUAGUAAUCGCGAAUCAGCAUGUCGCGGUGAAUACGUUCUCGGGGUUUGUACACACCGCCCGUCAAACCACGAAAGUUGGUAAUA
This 1268-nucleotide ribosomal RNA is filed under the name Candidatus Phytoplasma cynodontis. RNAcentral's name for it is "bacterial SSU rRNA". It matches the Rfam family "Bacterial small subunit ribosomal RNA", at positions 152 to 1419 of the family's 1533-position model. Lineage: Bacteria; Bacillati; Mycoplasmatota; Mollicutes; Acholeplasmatales; Acholeplasmataceae. The record is from RNAcentral.